CCCUUAGAUGUCCGGGGCCGCACGCGCGCUACACUGAAGGAAUCAGCGUGGCUUUCUCCCUGACCCGAAAGGGUUGGGAAACCCGUUGAAUCUCCUCGUGAUAGGGAUUGGGGCUUGAAAUUGUUCCCCAUGAACGAGGAAUUCCCAGUAAGCGCGAGUCAUAAGCUCGCGUUGAUUACGUCCCUGCCCUUUGUACACACCGCCCGUCGCUACUACCGAUUGAACGGUUUAGUGAGGGCCUCGGAUUGGUCUCGGCCCGCUCUUUACCGGGCGGCGCCGUUGGUCGAGAAGACGCUCGAACUUGAUCGUUUAGAGGAAGUAAAAGUCGUAACA
Molecule: ribosomal RNA, 333 nt
Filed under: uncultured eukaryote
Lineage: Eukaryota
Description: partial 18S ribosomal RNA
Rfam family: Eukaryotic small subunit ribosomal RNA
Source: RNAcentral